RNAcentral lists this ribosomal RNA (253 nucleotides) under uncultured bacterium. RNAcentral's name for it is "partial 16S ribosomal RNA". It matches the Rfam family "Bacterial small subunit ribosomal RNA", at positions 524 to 776 of the family's 1533-position model. The record is from RNAcentral.
UACGUAGGGUGCGAGCGUUAAUCGGAAUUACUGGGCGUAAAGCGUGCGCAGGCGGUUCCAUAAGACAGAUGUGAAAUCCCCGGGCUUAACCUGGGAACUGCGUUUGUGACUGUGGGACUCGAGUGUGGCAGAGGGGGGUGGAAUUCCACGUGUAGCAGUGAAAUGCGUAGAGAUGUGGAGGAACACCGAUGGCGAAGGCAGCCCCCUGGGUCAACACUGACGCUCAUGCACGAAAGCGUGGGGAGCAAACAGG